GACGAACGCUGGCGGCGUGCUUAACACAUGCAAGUCGAACGGAAAGGCCCUGCUUUUGUGGGGUGCUCGAGUGGCGAACGGGUGAGUAACACGUGAGUAACCUGCCCUUGACUUUGGGAUAACUUCACGAGACUGGGGCUAAUACCGGAUAGGAGCUCCUGCUGCAUGGUGGGGGUUGGAAAGUUUCGGCGGUUGGGGAUGGACUCGCGGCUUAUCAGCUUGUUGGUGGGGUAGUGGCUUACCAAGGCUUUGACGGGUAGCCGGCCUGAGAGGGUGACCGGCCACAUUGGGACUGAGAUACGGCCCAGACUCCUACGGGAGGCAGCAGUGGGGAAUAUUGCACAAUGGGCGGAAGCCUGAUGCAGCAACGCCGCGUGCGGGAUGACGGCCUUCGGGUUGUAAACCGCUUUCGCCUGUGACGAAGCGUGAGUGACGGUAAUGGGUAAAGAAGCAACGGCUAACUACGUG
Molecule: ribosomal RNA, 468 nt
Filed under: uncultured bacterium
Lineage: Bacteria
Description: partial 16S ribosomal RNA
Rfam family: Bacterial small subunit ribosomal RNA
Source: RNAcentral